This 497-nucleotide ribosomal RNA is filed under the name uncultured bacterium. RNAcentral's name for it is "partial 16S ribosomal RNA". It matches the Rfam family "Bacterial small subunit ribosomal RNA", at positions 28 to 507 of the family's 1533-position model. The record is from RNAcentral.
GAUGAACGCUGGCGGCGUGCCUAAUACAUGCAAGUCGAGCGAACGGACGGGAAGCUUGCUUUUCUGAUGUUAGCGGCGGACGGGUGAGUAACACGUGGAUAACCUACCUAUAAGACUGGGAUAACUUCGGGAAACCGGAGCUAAUACCGGAUAAUAUUUUGAACCGCAUGGUUCAAAAGUGAAAGACGGUCUUGCUGUCACUUAUAGAGGGAUCCGCGCUGCAUUAGCUAGUUGGUAAGGUAACGGCUUACCAAGGCAACGAUGCAUAGCCGACCUGAGAGGGUGAUCGGCCACACUGGAACUGAGACACGGUCCAGACUCCUACGGGAGGCAGCAGUAGGGAAUCUUCCGCAAUGGGCGAAAGCCUGACGGAGCAACGCCGCGUGAGUGAUGAAGGUCUUCGGAUCGUAAAACUCUGUUAUUAGGGAAGAACAUAUGUGUAAGUAACUGUGCACAUCUUGACGGUACCUAAUCAGAAAGCCACGGCUAACUACGUG